Molecule: transfer RNA, 73 nt
Filed under: Nitrososphaeria archaeon
Lineage: Archaea; Thermoproteati; Nitrososphaerota; Nitrososphaeria
Description: tRNA-Lys
Rfam family: tRNA
About the family: Transfer RNA (tRNA) molecules are approximately 80 nucleotides in length. Their secondary structure includes four short double-helical elements and three loops (D, anti-codon, and T loops).
Source: RNAcentral
GCCUUCGUAACUCAGAGACUAGAGUGCCUCGCUCUUAACGAGGAAGUCGAGAUUUUGAAAUUCUCCGAGGGCA